UACGAAGGGGGCUAGUGUUGUUCGGAAUUACUGGGCGUAAAGCGCAUGUAGGCGGAUAUUUAAGUCAGGGGUGAAAUCCCGCAGCUCAACUGCGGAACUGCCUUUGAUACUGGGUAUCUUGAGUAUGGAAGAGGUGAGUGGAAUUCCGAGUGUAGAGGUGAAAUUCGUAGAUAUUCGGAGGAACACCAGUGGCGAAGGCGGCUCACUGGUCCAUUACUGACGCUGAGGUGCGAAAGCGUGGGGAGCAAACAGG
This 253-nucleotide ribosomal RNA is filed under the name uncultured bacterium. RNAcentral describes it as "partial 16S ribosomal RNA". It matches the Rfam family "Bacterial small subunit ribosomal RNA", at positions 524 to 776 of the family's 1533-position model. The record is from RNAcentral.